RNAcentral lists this ribosomal RNA (832 nucleotides) under Cortinarius erythrocephalus. RNAcentral's name for it is "eukaryotic LSU rRNA". It matches the Rfam family "Eukaryotic large subunit ribosomal RNA", at positions 77 to 895 of the family's 3401-position model. The record is from RNAcentral. Lineage: Eukaryota; Fungi; Basidiomycota; Agaricomycetes; Agaricales; Cortinariaceae.
CCCCUAGUAACUGCGAGUGAAGCGGGAAAAGCUCAAAUUUAAAAUCUGGCAGUCUUUGGCUGUCCGAGUUGUAAUCUAGAGAAGUGUUAUCUGCGCUGGACCGUGUACAAGUCUCCUGGAAUGGAGCGUCAUAGAGGGUGAGAAUCCCGUCUUUGACACGGACUACCAGGGCUUUGUGAUACGCUCUCAAAGAGUCGAGUUGUUUGGGAAUGCAGCUCAAAAUGGGUGGUAAAUUCCAUCUAAAGCUAAAUAUUGGCGAGAGACCGAUAGCGAACAAGUACCGUGAGGGAAAGAUGAAAAGAACUUUGGAAAGAGAGUUAAACAGUACGUGAAAUUGCUGAAAGGGAAACGCUUGAAGUCAGUCGCGUUGUCCAGGGAUCAACCUUGCUUUUGCUUGGUGCAUUUUCUGGUCGACGGGUCAGCAUCAGUUUUGACUAUUGGAAAAAGGUUAAGGGAAUGUGGCAUCUUUGGAUGUGUUAUAGCCCUUGGUUGCAUACAAUAGUUGGGAUUGAGGAACUCAGCACGCCGAAAGGCCGGGUUUUUAACCACGUACGUGCUUAGGAUGCUGGCAUAAUGGCUUUAAUCGACCCGUCUUGAAACACGGACCAAGGAGUCUAACAUGCCUGCGAGUGUUUGGGUGGAAAACCCGAGCGCGCAAUGAAAGUGAAAGUUGAGAUCCCUGUCAUGGGGAGCAUUGACGCCCGGACCAGACCUUUUGUGACGGUUCCGCGGUAGAGCAUGUAUGUUGGGACCCGAAAGAUGGUGAACUAUGCCUGAAUAGGGUGAAGCCAGAGGAAACUCUGGUGGAGGCUCGUAGCGAUUCUGACGUGCA